RNAcentral lists this transfer RNA (94 nucleotides) under compost metagenome. RNAcentral's name for it is "tRNA-Arg". The record is from RNAcentral.
CGGCGCUGUAGACGACGGCGUAUUGUUCCUGGCUGCGGGUGGGGAUGACAUCGUUCUGGGUGAUGCGGGUGGUGAUCUCCUCACUCAGCACCGU